Molecule: non-coding RNA, 83 nt
Organism: Mauremys reevesii (Reeves's turtle)
Lineage: Eukaryota; Metazoa; Chordata; Testudines; Geoemydidae
Source: the annotation of a RefSeq genome assembly
ACCAGGAUGGCCGAGUGGUUAAGGUGUUGGACUUAAAAUCCAAUGGAUGCAUGUCUGCGUGGGUUCAAACCCCACUUCUGGUA